GGGCCCGCACAAGCAGUGGAGUAUGUGGUUUAAUUCGAAGCAACGCGAAGAACCUUACCAGGUCUUGACAUCCCGAUGACCGUCCUAGAGAUAGGGCUUCUCUUCGGAGCAUCGGUGACAGGUGGUGCAUGGUUGUCGUCAGCUCGUGUCGUGAGAUGUUGGGUUAAGUCCCGCAACGAGCGCAACCCUUACGGUUAGUUGAUACAUUUAGUUGAUCACUCCAGCCGGACUGCCGUUGACAAAACGGAGGAAGGUGGGGACGACGUCAAAUCAUCAUGCCCCUUAUGACCUGGGCUACACACGUACUACAAUGGCAGUCAUACAGAGGGAAGCAAUACCGCGAGGUGGAGCAAAUCCCUAAAAGCUGUCCCAGUUCAGAUUGUAGGCUGAAACUCGCCUACAUGAAGUCGGAAUGGCUAGUAAUCGCGGAUCAGCAUGCCG
Molecule: ribosomal RNA, 441 nt
Filed under: uncultured Bacillota bacterium
Lineage: Bacteria; Bacillati; Bacillota
Description: bacterial SSU rRNA
Rfam family: Bacterial small subunit ribosomal RNA
Source: RNAcentral